AAUAGAUACCCCGGUAGUCCACGCCGUAAACGAUGAGUGCUAAGUGUUAGAGGGUUUCCGCCCUUUAGUGCUGCAGCAAACGCAUUAAGCACUCCGCCUGGGGAGUACGGCCGCAAGGCUGAAACUCAAAGGAAUUGACGGGGGGCCCGCACAAGCGGUGGAGCAUGUGGUUUAAUUCGAAGCAACGCGAAGAACCUUACCAGGUCUUGACAUCCUCUGACACUCCUAGAGAUAGGACGUUCCCCUUCGGGGGGACAGAGUGACAGGUGGUGCAUGGUUGUCGUCAGCUCGUGUCGUGAGAUGUUGGGUUAAGUCCCGCAACGAGCGCAACCCUUGAUCUUAGUUGCCAGCAUUCAGUUGGGCACUCUAAGGUGACUGCCGGUGACAAACCGGAGGAAGGUGGGGAUGACGUCAAAUCAUCAUGCCCCUUAUGACCUGGGCUACACACGUGCUACAAUGGAUGGUACAAAGGGCAGCAAAGCCGCGAGGUCGAGCAAAUCCCGAUAAAACCAUUCUCAGUUCGGA
This 525-nucleotide ribosomal RNA is filed under the name uncultured bacterium. RNAcentral describes it as "bacterial SSU rRNA". It matches the Rfam family "Bacterial small subunit ribosomal RNA", at positions 777 to 1297 of the family's 1533-position model. The record is from RNAcentral.